GCCCCUUUCCUGUUUGGCGACUUCUGUUGCAGGGCCUGCAGGGCUCCUGCUGGGCAGGGACACGCGUGGGCAGCAACACGCAGCAGUGGGACAGGGACAGCACUGCACGGAGCUUUGGCGUCGCCCAUCCCCGUGGGACCCGAGGAUGCUCCCAUUGCUGCGCCGGGCCUGGCUGUGCCUCGGAGCUCUGCUGGUUGCCCCCCAUGAGGGGACCCCGCAGCUGCUGAUGGACAUGAGCCGCGACGCCUUCGACGAUCAGUACGAGGGCUGCGCGGCGGCGAUGGAGGCAGCGGGGCCGGCGCUGCUGGAGCGGGAGCGGGCGCGGGGCGAGUCCCGUCUGUUCCGCAGGGUGUGGGGCCGGGCUGGGGAGCGCUGGCAGCGGGUGAAGGGCGCGCUGGCCCCCCGCCUGCCCCUUGGCUUCAAGCUGCCAAGCAAUUGCCUUGGGCAUCCCUUUGUUUUCUUCUGUUCUUCCUUCCUAUCUCUCUCAUCAAACUGUCCCUCUCAGCUGACAAGUUCUCACACUUUUAUCUGUGUCAGUGCUCUGCCCAUCUCCUGGUGUGGCAGUGAGCAAACGGCCAAGUGCUGCAGAGCUGCUGCAGGGUUAAACCACAGCUGUGCUACUGAUCAUCAUAGGAUGGCCUGGGUUGCAAAGGACUACAAUGCUCAUUGAGUUCCAACCCCCUGCUAUGUGCAGGGUUGCCAACCACCAGACCAGGCUGCACAUAGCUCUGCUCCUGUGGUGGUUUGGCCCAGAGCACAGGAGGCACAGGGGAGGAUCCUGGUGGCCCUACAGCUCUUCGUGGCCCUACAGCUCCUUAUGGCAUUGCUGAGUUCUGCUCUCUGGUGAUGGUGAGAGGCUCCAAUGGAAUGGUAUGGAGCUGUGUCGUGGGAGGGUCAGGUGGGGGAAAGGGAAAGGUGUGCCCCAUUGGGCAGCGGGCAUGGCUCAGCUCCACCAGUGAGGGACUUCUCUGCUUCUGUAUCUCUGAGUGAGCCACGAGAGCUGAAAAACAUCAGCCAUUGUCCAGGCAAGUGUACAGAACAGAUGGGGGAGAAAGGGAUCUUCAAAGACCUUCCAGUCCAACCGCCUGAGCAGCACAGGGCGAACCUGGAGGUGGAGCAUCGCAUUGAGGGAUGGUCACUGCACCGCCUGAGCACCGGCAGUGCCAUUUGAAGCCAUUUCCCCUUAUUCUGUCACCACAGGCCCUGCUCAAGAGUCUGUCCCCUUCUUUCCUGUCGCUCCCCUUUGGAUACUGACAGGCUGCUCUCAGGUCUCCUGCAGCCUUCCCUUCUCCAUCUGCACAGCCCCAGCUCUCAGC
Gallus gallus (chicken) is the source of this 1316-nucleotide RNA transcript. RefSeq lists it as uncharacterized. NCBI's taxonomy places the organism in Eukaryota, Metazoa, Chordata, Aves, Galliformes, Phasianidae. The transcript has 3 exons. The record is from RefSeq and is a predicted model, not a curated record.